Non-coding RNA from Oryza meridionalis, 103 nucleotides. Lineage: Eukaryota; Viridiplantae; Streptophyta; Magnoliopsida; Poales; Poaceae. The record is from Rfam.
AACUUUAGCGCCUUGACGACAACAGCUAGAAUAGCCGCGGCGACGGAGGAUUGUCUCCCCGAUGAGGCCGCCAUUCUAGCUGUCGUCGUCGAGGCGCUAAAGU